RNAcentral lists this ribosomal RNA (497 nucleotides) under uncultured bacterium. RNAcentral's name for it is "partial 16S ribosomal RNA". It matches the Rfam family "Bacterial small subunit ribosomal RNA", at positions 28 to 507 of the family's 1533-position model. The record is from RNAcentral.
GAUGAACGCUGGCGGCGUGCCUAAUACAUGCCAGUCGAGCGAACGGACGAGAAGCUUGCUUCUCUGAUGUUAGCGGCGGACGGGUGAGUAACACGUGGAUAACCUACCUAUAAGACUGGGAUAACUUCGGGAAACCGGAGCUAAUACCGGAUAAUAUUUUGAACCGCAUGGUUCAAAAGUGAAAGACGGUCUUGCUGUCACUUAUAGAUGGAUCCGCGCUGCAUUAGCUGGUUGGUAAGGUAACGGCUUACCAAGGCAACGAUGCAUAGCCGACCUGAGAGGGUGAUCGGCCACACUGGAACUGAGACACGGUCCAGACUCCUACGGGAGGCAGCAGUAGGGAAUCUUCCGCAAUGGGCGAAAGCCUGACGGAGCAACGCCGCGUGAGUGAUGAAGGUCUUCGGAUCGUAAAACUCUGUUAUUAGGGAAGAACAUAUGUGUAAGUAACUGUGCACAUCUUGACGGUACCUAAUCAGAAAGCCACGGCUAACUACGUG